RNAcentral lists this small RNA (616 nucleotides) under Pongo abelii (Sumatran orangutan). RNAcentral describes it as "processed transcript". The record is from RNAcentral. Lineage: Eukaryota; Metazoa; Chordata; Mammalia; Primates; Hominidae.
GGCGCUCUGGCCGGUCAGCAAGCAGCUCUACCGCCGCCUCAACUGCCGCCUCGCCUACUCACUCUGGAGCCUAGCACAAAACUAGAAGCCACCCAAGCACCUGUCACUGGAGACUAAUUAUGCUGUGCCCAUACAGGGACCGUCUGCGGCCAUCAUGGAGAGCUUCAUCUUGCCCGUACAGUUUUAGGUGAAAAGGAAGAGUAUAUGACAAAGCCCAUAGUGUCUCCUGCGGGCGCUCCCUGACCAUCCCAGGAGGAGGGGUUCCACCGGUGCCAACGCCCUCCCUCUGUCCGCAGAACUGGUCAUGCUGCUGGAGUGGUGGUCCUGCACGGAGUGCACGCUGUUCACGGACCAGGCCACGGUAGAGCGCUUUGGGAAGGAGCACGCGGUCAUCAUCCUCAACCACAACUUCGAGAUCGACUUCCUCUGUGGGUGGACCAUGUGUGAGCGCUUCGGAGUGCUGGGGAGCUCCAAGGUCCUCGCUAAGAAGGAGCUACUCUACGUGCCCCUCAUCGGCUGGACGUGGUACUUUCUGGAGAUCGUGUUCUGCAAGAGGAAGUGGGAGGAGGACCGGGACACCGUGGUCGAAGGGCUGAGGCGCCUGUCCGACUACCCC